This 254-nucleotide ribosomal RNA is filed under the name uncultured bacterium. RNAcentral's name for it is "partial 16S ribosomal RNA". It matches the Rfam family "Bacterial small subunit ribosomal RNA", at positions 524 to 776 of the family's 1533-position model. The record is from RNAcentral.
UACGUAGGGACCGAGCGUUGUCCGGAUUCAUUGGGCGUAAAGAGCUCGUAGGCGGCUUGGCAAGUCGGGUGUGAAAACUUCAGGCUCAACCUGGAGCGGCCACUCGAUACUGCCAUGGCUUGAGUCCGGUAGGGGACCACGGAAUUCCUGGUGUAGCGGUGAAAUGCGUAGAGAUCAGGAAGAACACCGGUGGCGAAGGCGCUCUGCUAGGCCGUAACUGACACUGAGGGACGAAAGCUAGGGGAGCGAAUGGG